This 497-nucleotide ribosomal RNA is filed under the name uncultured bacterium. RNAcentral's name for it is "partial 16S ribosomal RNA". It matches the Rfam family "Bacterial small subunit ribosomal RNA", at positions 28 to 507 of the family's 1533-position model. The record is from RNAcentral.
GAUGAACGCUGGCGGCGUGCCUAAUACAUGCAAGUCGAGCGAACGGACGAGAAGCUUGCUUCUCUGAUGUUAGCGGCGGACGGGUGAGUAACACGUGGAUAACCUACCUAUAAGACUGGGAUAACUUCGGGAAACCGUAGCUAAUACCGGAUAAUAUUUUGAACCGCAUGGUUCAAAAGUGAAAGACGGUCUUGCUGUCACUUAUAGAUGGAUCCGCGCUGCAUUAGCUAGUUGGUAAGGUAACGGCUUACCAAGGCAACGAUGCAUAGCCGACCUGAGAGCGUGAUCGGCCACACUGGAACUGAGACACGGUCCAGACUCCUACGGGAGGCAGCAGUAGGGAAUCUUCCGCAAUGGGCGAAAGCCUGACGGAGCAACGCCGCGUGAGUGAUGAAGGUCUUCGGAUCGUAAAACUCUGUUAUUAGGGAAGAACAUAUGUGUAAGUAACUGUGCACAUCUUGACGGUUCCUAAUCAGAAAGCCACGGCUAACUACGUG